CAGUCAUUGCGCUAAUGCUAGUUAGCAUUGGCUUGCGAAACUACUAACUUCCUUCAUACUGGACACAGAAACAUUAAAAUUGUAUCCCACGAGUUCAUCAGCCUCUUGGGUAAUAGAUAAAGGACAUCAUUGCCAAAAGGUUAUGGUCUGUGGUUUGUCUGUUUCCCCGGGUGGCAUUCGUAUACGUUUUCGUGCCCACAACUUGAAACGGAACACCAUUGAAUCGGGAGCCUUCUACUCUCUCAGCUGAGUUGUUUUCCUGAGACAGAGAUAUUAGAAUGGUAUCCCACGACUUCCUCAGCCUCUUGGGUAAUAGAUAAAGGACAUCUGAGCCUACUAGCUGAGUUUUUUUUCUCCUGAGCCUACUAGCUGAUUUUUUUUUUUCCUGAGCCUACUAGCUGAUUUUUUUUUUUCUGAGCCUACUAGCUGAGGUUUUUUUUUCCUGAGCCUACUAGCUGAGUUGUUUUUUUUUUCCUGAGCCUACUAGCUGAGUUGUUUUUUUUCCUGAGCCUACUAGCUGAGUUGUUUUUUUUCCUGAGCCUACUAGCUGAGUUGUUUUCCUGCCGAAGGCUGUGCAUUUGUUGAAGGUCAAAAAUGUGUUAUUACUAUUUAACAAUGUUGCUCUGUCAAAUAGAAUAACACUCCCUUUUUGGACUCUCGACUGAAUUUUGGAUUUCCAACAAAAAUCUCUCGACCCCAAAAAACAAUGUUUACAUGUUUUAUUUGGCGCUGUGGCAGUCAAUUGAAAAACAUUCUAACAGUAUUUCUGAUUGUCUUCUCGAGAUUCCGAGGUGGAUGACCGUUCAAAUCGGGUUUUUUUCCUCAGUCGGAGCUCGCUUAUGUUUCAGUUCCCAGUUGUCUUGAAUGCGCUGAAGUCGGAAGGCAGAGAUUUCCCGAGUUCCCAAAUGUUUUGAAUGCGGCAUUAAUGUUCAGUGUGCCAUGGUAUUUUCCCUUUUGAGUCAUCAACCUAAACUCCUCAGUAGUGACCCGUGAAUUAAUUUGGUCACAUGACAGCUCAAUCAGCUGUUCGAUUUCACUUACCAGCAUGUCAACUGAGCCAGAAUCACAGUCAAACGGUUUAGGAAGUCGGUUCCCAAAGUUCUCUUCCAAGUGUAUGAGGUGAGUAGUCAUCACUCGUGCGGGACACUUACUGAUGCUCUUUUCUGUUUAGAGACAUGCACAGCCGAGAAGGUAGGAAGGGGUCUCUUUUGAAAGUCCAGUAAGAACUGGAACCCCCCCCCCGAUAACCACCAAGCCUUGGUGUGAAAUAGAACAGGGUCAUCCCCUGAUCCCAUUUCUCCACAUAGUUUUGCGAUAAGUCUGCGCGCGCAGUGGAUGUGGUUUGAGUCGCUACCUGCUGCAUGGUGUCUCCCGCGUUCUCAGAGCUCAGCACUUUUGCUGCCAGAUGCUCAAGAUACGCGACAUGGGAUCUUUUUGUGUCAAUAAAAUGAAUUAGCUUAUGCGAGAUAUAUCUCGGUGGAAACGCUUGUAUGCGCAAAUAUUGAUAUAAUAACAAUAAUUUCGAAGUACAUUUUGGAGUGACGCGAUGACAUGUUGUGUGGUUCUCCCCACUACGACUGAUCAGGAAAGCGUGCAGUUUCUUAGACUACAGAUUAAAUACAUUAAGGUGAUAAACUCGAUGCUCCUUUCCAAUAAAUAUCGAAGGUGUUAUUCUGGUGACAGGAUAAUCGAUGCUUGGCUGCCGAUUGUCCAUAAUAAUAAUGUAAUCGUAUAGGUUAUUUGUGCACAACGAGACAACAGUGCGCAGAUAGCCCUGUUGCCUCGAGCGCGCACGUGCCAAUACCAGAGUGACCACGCUCGCUAUGUAACGCAAACGCGUUUUGUGAGAGAACCAUCAGAAAGAGUUGAAAAAUGACAUGGAAAACACAUUUAACUUGUUGUUUUUUAAAAUUCGCUACAUGGGAAUUUAACCGCAAAAGGUUAUUUCUCUGAGCACUACGUAUGCGUCAUCACACUCCCUCUCGCCUGAUUGGUCGAGUAGGCGGGCCUUCUGACUUUGUGGCUGUGAUAACUAGUGAGACCCGCUCAUCUUCGUUGGAUAACAGAUGGUAUGAAAGGUGAGGACUCGUUUCCCCUCUGACCUAUCCCUAUUACCCUUCCCAUUGGACUGGCCCUCUAUUAUCUCAUUGAGAGCUCUCUGCACCAAUCAGAAGAGACUACUUGUUAAGAGCGGCGAGGGGCCAAAAACGGGAAAACGCAUGAGCACCGUCCGUUCUGCGGCUGUUUGGAAAACUGAAAGCUGGUACGUUUAUAGAAGGGAGAUCGACGGAGGGAGGCAAACAUUAAAAAGACAAAGCAGGUGUAGAGAGGUCGUUGGGAGGACAGAGAAAGGGGAGAGAACAGACUCAAAGAAAGCUAAUUAGCAUUUAUCUAUUUGUAAUACUGAGAAAAAAGGGUAAUUUAGAUGUAACAAUAUAUUACACUGAGUUCACCAUCCUGCAGAGAAAUGUGUGUAUUGGCCCUUGUGGUUCGAGUGUCGGGGG
Molecule: long non-coding RNA, 2504 nt
Organism: Oncorhynchus tshawytscha (Chinook salmon)
Lineage: Eukaryota; Metazoa; Chordata; Actinopteri; Salmoniformes; Salmonidae
Source: Ensembl